GCAGGUGGUCAUGGAAGAGGUACCUCGGGGUGUUCAUCUGGGCAGAAGGAAAACCCUAAGACAGGAAUGCAUAUUUGGUCUAGAAAAAUGAACCAAAGUAAACCCCAGGCCAGUAACAGAUGACAGUGCCAACUGAGGAAGGGAUGCAUAAUUUGAGGAACUCCUUUUCCAGCAGCAGGGAUUGGAUCAAUCCAUAGUCUUAGAGCAUCAAGCUAAUGACAAGUAAGGUUGGAUCUGUGUGGGCCUUGGCCUUCUACAAUCCACUGGAUCAACAAAGGAGGCAAAUGGAAACUCCUGCUGCCCAUGGAAAUGCAAUUCAAAAUAUUCAUCCUUGCUGUGAAGGCAUUGUGGUCCACAGUCUCCCCAUCACCCAUUGCAACUCUAACUACAUGAAUUUAAAGGCUACAUAGGCAUUACAGGAGCGUGGCUUUCCAAGAGACUCCAGGAAGCUACAGAUUGGCCAGUCCACUCUGCAGCCACAAGCAGGGCGAAGAGGGGCUGAGAAGCCCUGGAGUCCUGCUGAAGGAACUGAGCAGUAGUCACAAGAAAGUACAGAGUGAACUCCAGAGCCCAUGGGAUGAGCAAGGAUGAAAGGUCCCACUGACCAGGUGGGAUGAGGUCUAUUUUGGUUCAUAAAGUCGCUUUUUCGUUUAGAGGAACAAGGCCAACACAGUCGCACAGCAGACCAAUGCCAAAAUCACAGGUCUCUCCCUGCCCCAGGAGCUACAUUGCCACUCAGAGGAGAAAAAGGAAGACAAAGGGGAAAACAAACCCAAUCUGGAAUACCAUUGAAUUGGACUGAACUCUCUAGGAAGUGACUACAGGUUUUGUUUGUUUUUUGUUUUGUUUUUUCUUUGCAUCAAUCAGAUUGUGGACUUUAUGGUCUCAAAUUGAAUUCCAUAAUAAAAAAUACAGUUUCU
Long non-coding RNA from Mesocricetus auratus (golden hamster), 920 nucleotides. RefSeq lists it as uncharacterized. The record is from RefSeq and is a predicted model, not a curated record. Lineage: Eukaryota; Metazoa; Chordata; Mammalia; Rodentia; Cricetidae. The transcript is spliced from 3 exons.